AUUGAACGCUGGCGGCAGGCCUAACACAUGCAAGUCGAGCGGAUGAAGGGAGCUUUCUCCUGGAUUCAGCGGCGGACGGGUGAGUAAUGCCUAGGAAUCUGCCUGGUAGUGGGGGAUAACGUCCGGAAACGGGCGCUAAUACCGCAUACGUCCUGAGGGAGAAAGUGGGGGAUCUUCGGACCUCACGCUAUCAGAUGAGACUAGGUCGGAUUAGCUAGUUGGUGGGGUAAAGGCCUACCAAGGCGACGAUCCGUAACUGGUCUGAGAGGAUGAUCAGUCACACUGGAACUGAGACACGGUCCAGACUCCUACGGGAGGCAGCAGUGGGGAAUAUUGGACAAUGGGCGAAAGCCUGAUCCAGCCAUGCCGCGUGUGUGAAGAAGGUCUUCGGAUUGUAAAGCACUUUAAGUUGGGAGGAAGGGCAGUAAGUUAAUACCUUGCUGUUUUGACGUUACCAACAGAAUAAGCACCGGCUAACUUCGUG
RNAcentral lists this ribosomal RNA (484 nucleotides) under uncultured bacterium. RNAcentral's name for it is "partial 16S ribosomal RNA". It matches the Rfam family "Bacterial small subunit ribosomal RNA", at positions 30 to 507 of the family's 1533-position model. The record is from RNAcentral.